This 64-nucleotide transfer RNA is filed under the name Nesophrosyne sp. 21 GMB-2012. RNAcentral's name for it is "tRNA-Ala". The record is from RNAcentral. Lineage: Eukaryota; Metazoa; Arthropoda; Insecta; Hemiptera; Cicadellidae.
AGGGUUAUAUUUAAUUAUAAUAUUUGAAUUGCAAUCAAAAGGUAUCCACAUGAGAUUAACCUUU